GACGAACGCUGGCGGCGUGCUUAACACAUGCAAGUCGAACGGAAAGGCCCUGCUUUUGUUGGGUGCUCGAGUGGCGAACGGGUGAGUAACACGUGAGUAACCUGCCCUUGACUUUGGGAUAACUUCAGGAAACUGGGGCUAAUACCGGAUAUGAGCUCCUGCUGCAUGGUGGGGGUUGGAAAGUUUCGGCGGUUGGGGAUGGACUCGCGGCUUAUCAGCUUGUUGGUGGGGUAGUGGCUUACCAAGGCUUUGACGGGUAGCCGGCCUGAGAGGGUGACCGGCCACAUUGGGACUGAGAUACGGCCCAGACUCCUACGGGAGGCAGCAGGGGGGAAUAUUGCACAAUGGGCGGAAGCCUGAUGCAGCAACGCCGCGUGCGGGAUGACGGCCUUCGGGUUGUAAACAGCUUUCGCCUGUGACGAAGCGUGAGUGACGGUAAUGGGUAAAGAAGCACCGGCUAACUACGUG
This 468-nucleotide ribosomal RNA is filed under the name uncultured bacterium. RNAcentral's name for it is "partial 16S ribosomal RNA". It matches the Rfam family "Bacterial small subunit ribosomal RNA", at positions 28 to 507 of the family's 1533-position model. The record is from RNAcentral.